AUGAACGCUGGCGGCGUGCCUAAUACAUGCAAGUCGAGCGAACGGACGAGAAGCUUGCUUCUCUGAUGUUAGCGGCGGACGGGUGAGUAACACGUGGAUAACCUACCUAUAAGACUGGGAUAACUUCGGGAAACCGGAGCUAAUACCGGAUAAUAUUUUGAACCGCAUGGUUCAAAAGUGAAAGACGGUCCUGCUGUCACUUAUAGAUGGAUCCGCUCUGCAUUAGCUAGUUGGUAAGGUAACGGCUUACCAAGGCAACGAUGCAUAGCCGACCUGAGAGGGUGAUCGGCCACACUGGAACUGAGACACGGUCCAGACUCCUACGGGAGGCAGCAGUAGGGAAUCUUCCGCAAUGGGCGAAAGCCUGACGGAGCAACGCCGCGUGAGUGAUGAAGGUCUUCGGAUCGUAAAACUCUGUUAUUAGGGAAGAACAUAUGUGUAAGUAACUGUGCACAUCUUGACGGUACCUAAUCAGAAAGCCACGGCUAACUACGUG
This 496-nucleotide ribosomal RNA is filed under the name uncultured bacterium. RNAcentral describes it as "partial 16S ribosomal RNA". It matches the Rfam family "Bacterial small subunit ribosomal RNA", at positions 29 to 507 of the family's 1533-position model. The record is from RNAcentral.